UAUUAUGAGAGUUUGAUCCUGGCUCAGGACGAACGCUGGCGGCGUGCCUAAUACAUGCAAGUCGUACGCUUCUUUUUCCACCGGAGCUUGCUCCACCGGAAAAAGAAGAGUGGCGAACGGGUGAGUAACACGUGGGUAACCUGCCCAUCAGAAGGGGAUAACACUUGGAAACAGGUGCUAAUACCGUAUAACAAUCGAAACCGCAUGGUUUUGAUUUGAAAGGCGCUUUCGGGUGUCGCUGAUGGAUGGACCCGCGGUGCAUUAGCUAGUUGGUGAGGUAACGGCUCACCAAGGCCACGAUGCAUAGCCGACCUGAGAGGGUGAUCGGCCACAUUGGGACUGAGACACGGCCCAAACUCCUACGGGAGGCAGCAGUAGGGAAUCUUCGGCAAUGGACGAAAGUCUGACCGAGCAACGCCGCGUGAGUGAAGAAGGUUUUCGGAUCGUAAAACUCUGUUGUUAGAGAAGAACAAGGAUGAGAGUAACUGUUCAUCCCUUGACGGUAUCUAACCAGAAAGCCACGGCUAACUACGUGCCAGCAGCCGCGGUAAUACGUAGGUGGCAAGCGUUGUCCGGAUUUAUUGGGCGUAAAGCGAGCGCAGGCGGUUUCUUAAGUCUGAUGUGAAAGCCCCCGGCUCAACCGGGGAGGGUCAUUGGAAACUGGGAGACUUGAGUGCAGAAGAGGAGAGUGGAAUUCCAUGUGUAGCGGUGAAAUGCGUAGAUAUAUGGAGGAACACCAGUGGCGAAGGCGGCUCUCUGGUCUGUAACUGACGCUGAGGCUCGAAAGCGUGGGGAGCAAACAGGAUUAGAUACCCUGGUAGUCCACGCCGUAAACGAUGAGUGCUAAGUGUUGGAGGGUUUCCGCCCUUCAGUGCUGCAGCUAACGCAUUAAGCACUCCGCCUGGGGAGUACGACCGCAAGGUUGAAACUCAAAGGAAUUGACGGGGGCCCGCACAAGCGGUGGAGCAUGUGGUUUAAUUCGAAGCAACGCGAAGAACCUUACCAGGUCUUGACAUCCUUUGACCACUCUAGAGAUAGAGCUUCCCCUUCGGGGGCAAAGUGACAGGUGGUGCAUGGUUGUCGUCAGCUCGUGUCGUGAGAUGUUGGGUUAAGUCCCGCAACGAGCGCAACCCUUAUUGUUAGUUGCCAUCAUUCAGUUGGGCACUCUAGCAAGACUGCCGGUGACAAACCGGAGGAAGGUGGGGAUGACGUCAAAUCAUCAUGCCCCUUAUGACCUGGGCUACACACGUGCUACAAUGGGAAGUACAACGAGUCGCGAAGUCGCGAGGCUAAGCUAAUCUCUUAAAGCUUCUCUCAGUUCGGAUUGUAGGCUGCAACUCGCCUACAUGAAGCCGGAAUCGCUAGUAAUCGCGGAUCAGCACGCCGCGGUGAAUACGUUCCCGGGCCUUGUACACACCGCCCGUCACACCACGAGAGUUUGUAACACCCGAAGUCGGUGAGGUAACCUUUUUGGAGCCAGCCGCCUAAGGUGGGAUAGAUGAUUGGGGUGAAGUCGUAACAAGGUAGCCGUAUCGGAAGGUGCGGCUGGAUCACCUCCUUU
Molecule: ribosomal RNA, 1561 nt
Filed under: Enterococcus durans
Lineage: Bacteria; Bacillati; Bacillota; Bacilli; Lactobacillales; Enterococcaceae
Description: bacterial SSU rRNA
Rfam family: Bacterial small subunit ribosomal RNA
Source: RNAcentral